Molecule: ribosomal RNA, 568 nt
Filed under: Graphium penicillioides
Lineage: Eukaryota; Fungi; Ascomycota; Sordariomycetes; Microascales; Graphiaceae
Description: eukaryotic LSU rRNA
Rfam family: Eukaryotic large subunit ribosomal RNA
Source: RNAcentral
CAAUAAGCGGAGGAAAAGAAACCAACAGGGAUUGCCCCAGUAACGGCGAGUGAAGCGGCAACAGCUCAAAUUUGAAAUCUGGCCCCCCGGGUCCGAGUUGUAAUUUGCAGAGGAUGCUCUUGGCGAGGCACCGUCCGAGUUCCCUGGAACGGGACGCCAUAGAGGGUGAGAGCCCCGUAUGGACGACUGCCGAGCCGCUGUAGAGCUCCUUCGACGAGUCGAGUAGUUUGGGAAUGCUGCUCUAAACGGGAGGUAAAUCUCUUCUAAAGCUAAAUACUGGCCACAGACCGAUAGCGCACAAGUAGAGUGAUCGAAAGAUGAAAAGCACUUUGAAAAGAGAGUUAAACAGCACGUGAAAUUGUUGAAAGGGAAGCGCUCAUGACCAGACUUGCGCCUGGCGGAUCAUCCGGCGUUCUCGCCGGUGCACUCCGCCUGGCACAGGCCAGCAUCGGUUCGCUGUCGGGGAGAAAGGCGGGGGGAAUGUGGCUCUUCGGAGUGUUAUAGCCCCCCGUGUAAUACCCUUCGGCGGACCGAGGUUCGCGCAUCUGCAAGGAUGCUGGCGUAAUGG